This is a small nucleolar RNA of Arabidopsis thaliana (thale cress), 142 nucleotides long. RefSeq annotates it as other RNA. The transcript has a single exon. NCBI's taxonomy places the organism in Eukaryota, Viridiplantae, Streptophyta, Magnoliopsida, Brassicales, Brassicaceae. The record is from RefSeq.
AGCCGUCUACAAUUAAGCCGAUGCUCUGGAUUAAAAUAGAAUGAAGGAAGCAUGGUACUGUGCACGGAAACUAAACUAUAGAUCGACAUGUCUGCCAUCUCUGAUUUUUCGUGAUGAGACGGCCUGGUUUAGAUCUACAUUC